GGUCGAACGGCCACAUUGGGACUGAGACACGGCCCAAACUCCUACGGGAGGCAGCAGUAAGGAAUUUUCGGCAAUGGAGGAAACUCUGACCGAGCAAUGCCGCGUGAACGAUGAAGUAUUUCGGUACGUAAAGUUCUUUUAUUAGGGAAGAAAAGAUGGUGGAAAAACCAUUAUGACGGUACCUAAUGAAUAAGCCCCGGCUAACUAUGUGCCAGCAGCCGCGGUAAUACAUAGGGGGCAAGCGUUAUCCGGAAUUAUUGGGCGUAAAGGGUGCGUAGGCGGUUAAAUAAGUUUAUGGUCUAAGUGCAACGCUCAACGUUGUGAUGCUAUAAAAACUGUUUAGCUAGAGUUGGAUAGAGGCAAGUGGAAUUCCGUGUGUAGUGGUAAAAUGCGUAAAUAUACGGAGGAACACCAGAAGCGAAGGCGGCU
This 429-nucleotide ribosomal RNA is filed under the name Candidatus Phytoplasma solani. Its description in RNAcentral is "bacterial SSU rRNA". It matches the Rfam family "Bacterial small subunit ribosomal RNA", at positions 298 to 726 of the family's 1533-position model. The record is from RNAcentral. Lineage: Bacteria; Bacillati; Mycoplasmatota; Mollicutes; Acholeplasmatales; Acholeplasmataceae.